CAGGCCUAACACAUGCAAGUCGAGCGAGAAAGUGACUUCGGUCACGAGUAAAGCGGCGAACGGGUGAGUACGACGUGGAUAAUCUACCCUAGGGUCUGGGACAACCCCGAGAAAUCGGAGCUAAUACCGGAUAAGACCACAGUAUCCAAGGAUACAGUGGUGAAAGAUUUAUCGCCUUUGGAUGAGUCCACGUCCCAUCAGGUAGUUGGUAAGGUAAAAGCUUACCAAGCCUAAGACGGGUAGCCGGCCUUAGCGGGUGAACGGCCACAUGGGGACUGAGACACGGCCCUGACUCCUACGGGAGGCAGCAGUGGGGAAUAUUGGGCAAUGG
This 331-nucleotide ribosomal RNA is filed under the name uncultured bacterium. RNAcentral describes it as "bacterial SSU rRNA". It matches the Rfam family "Bacterial small subunit ribosomal RNA", at positions 43 to 374 of the family's 1533-position model. The record is from RNAcentral.